This 420-nucleotide ribosomal RNA is filed under the name uncultured cyanobacterium. RNAcentral describes it as "bacterial SSU rRNA". It matches the Rfam family "Bacterial small subunit ribosomal RNA", at positions 356 to 790 of the family's 1533-position model. The record is from RNAcentral. Lineage: Bacteria; Bacillati; Cyanobacteriota.
GGGGAAUUUUCCGCAAUGGGCGAAAGCCUGACGGAGCAACGCCGCGUGAGGGAGGAAGGCCUGUGGGUUGUAAACCUCUUUUACCCAAGAAGAACACAAUGACAGUAUUGGGUGAAUCAGCCUCGGCUAACUCCGUGCCAGCAGCCGCGGUAAGACGGAGGAGGCAAGCGUUAUCCGGAAUUAUUGGGCGUAAAGCGUCCGCAGGUGGCUUCACCAGUCUGCUGUCAAAACCCAGGGCUCAACCCUGGAUCGGCGGUGGAAACUGUGAGGCUAGAGUGCGGUAGGGGCAGAGGGAAUUCCAGGUGUAGCGGUGAAAUGCGUAGAUAUCUGGAAGAACACCCGUGGCGAAAGCGCUCUGCUGGGCCUGCACUGACACUCAUGGACGAAAGCUAGGGGAGCGAAUGGGAUUAGAUACCCCAG